UAGGGAAUAUUGGACAAUGGGCGCAAGCCUGAUCCAGCCAUGCCGCGUGAGUGAUGAAGGCCUUAGGGUUGUAAAGCUCUUUCGCCAGGGACGAUAAUGACGGUACCUGGAUAAGAAGCCCCGGCUAACUUCGUGCCAGCAGCCGCGGUAAUACGAAGGGGGCUAGCGUUGUUCGGAAUCACUGGGCGUAAAGCGUAUGCAGGCGGAUCGUUAAGUCAGGGGUGAAAUCCCGAGGCUCAACCUCGGAACUGGCUUUGAUACUGGCGAUCUUCGAGUCCGGGAGAGGUGAGUGGAACUGCGAGUGUAGAGGUGAAAUUCGUAGAUAUUCACAAGAACACCAGUGGCGAAGGCGGCUCACUGGCCCGGUACUGACGCUGAGAUACGAAAGCGUGGGGAGCAAACA
RNAcentral lists this ribosomal RNA (403 nucleotides) under uncultured prokaryote. RNAcentral describes it as "bacterial SSU rRNA". It matches the Rfam family "Bacterial small subunit ribosomal RNA", at positions 355 to 774 of the family's 1533-position model. The record is from RNAcentral.